UGCGUUGUACUUGAUCUCUUAAGCAUUCA
RNAcentral lists this non-coding RNA (29 nucleotides) under Mus musculus (house mouse). The record is from RNAcentral. Lineage: Eukaryota; Metazoa; Chordata; Mammalia; Rodentia; Muridae.